UGCGUAGGUGGUUAUAUUAGUGUGAUGUGAAAGCCCUGGGCUUAACCUAGGAAGAGCAUUGCAAACGGUACAACUAGAGUAUAAGAGAGGGUGGUGGAAUUUCCGGUGUAGCGGUGAAAUGCGUAGAGAUCGGAAGGAACGUCAAUGGCGAAGGCAGCCACCUGGCUUAAUACUGACACUGAAGCACGAAAGCGUGGGGAGCGAACA
RNAcentral lists this ribosomal RNA (207 nucleotides) under uncultured bacterium. Its description in RNAcentral is "partial 16S ribosomal RNA". It matches the Rfam family "Bacterial small subunit ribosomal RNA", at positions 568 to 774 of the family's 1533-position model. The record is from RNAcentral.